UACGGGGGGGGCAAGCGUUGUUCGGAAUUACUGGGCGUAAAGGGCUCGUAGGCGGCCAACUAAGUCAGACGUGAAAUCCCUCGGCUUAACCGGGGAACUGCGUCUGAUACUGGAUGGCUUGAGUUUGGGAGAGGGAUGCGGAAUUCCAGGUGUAGCGGUGAAAUGCGCAGAUAUCAGGAAGAACACCCGUGGCGAAGGCGGCUCUCCGGGACGGUACUGACGCUGAGACGCGAAAGCGUGGGGAGCGAACAGG
Molecule: ribosomal RNA, 253 nt
Filed under: uncultured bacterium
Lineage: Bacteria
Description: partial 16S ribosomal RNA
Rfam family: Bacterial small subunit ribosomal RNA
Source: RNAcentral